Long non-coding RNA from Xyrauchen texanus (razorback sucker), 318 nucleotides. RefSeq lists it as uncharacterized. The record is from RefSeq and is a predicted model, not a curated record. NCBI's taxonomy places the organism in Eukaryota, Metazoa, Chordata, Actinopteri, Cypriniformes, Catostomidae. The transcript has 3 exons.
GCUGAAUGUGAAGAAAGAGCCUGAGGAAGAUCCAGACUUUAUAGCAGAGGGGGAAGUGAAAAAAGAGGAAAUAAAAGGCAGAUAUCACUGUUGGUCUGUCUUCUAACUCAGAAGAUCCUUUCAAGAAGAAAAAACCAAGGAGGAGAUUGAGGCAGCCAUAGCAAGAUAAAAAAAGAAAGAGGAAGAGGAGAAACAAAGGUGGAGAUGGUGGGAAAAGGAGACGUACGAGGAUGGAAUUAAAUGGAAAUUUCUAGAACAUAAAGGACCAUAUUCCUUUAGGGACAGGAGGAAGGUAAACAGCGCCUAUAGUUGUCAGCC